This 253-nucleotide ribosomal RNA is filed under the name uncultured bacterium. RNAcentral describes it as "partial 16S ribosomal RNA". It matches the Rfam family "Bacterial small subunit ribosomal RNA", at positions 524 to 776 of the family's 1533-position model. The record is from RNAcentral.
UACGGGGGGGGCAAGCGUUGUUCGGAAUUACUGGGCGUAAAGGGCGCGUAGGCGGCGUGACAAGUCACUUGUGAAAUCUCCGGGCUUAACUCGGAACGGUCAAGUGAUACUGUCGGACUAGAGUACAGAAGGGGCAACUGGAAUUCUCGGUGUAGCGGUGAAAUGCGUAGAUAUCGAGAGGAACACCUGCGGCGAAGGCGGGUUGCUGGGCUGAUACUGACGCUGAGGCGCGAAAGCCAGGGGAGCGAACGGG